GACGAACGCUGGCGGCGUGCUUAACACAUGCAAGUCGAACGAAGAGCGAUGGAAGCUUGCUUCCAUCAAUCUUAGUGGCGCACGGGUGAGUAACGCGUAAUCAACCUGCCCUUCAGAGGGGGACAACAGUUGGAAACGACUGCUAAUACCGCAUACGAUCUAAUCUCGGCAUCGAGGAUAGAUGAAAGGUGGCCUCUACAUGUAAGCUAUCACUGAAGGAGGGGAUUGCGUCUGCUUAGCUAGUUGGAGGGGUAACGGCCCACCAAGGCGAUGAUCAGUAGCCGGGCUGAGAGGAUGAACGGCCACAGUGGGACUGAGACACGGCCCAGACUCCUACGGGAGGCAGCAGUGGGGAAUCUUCCGCAAUGGACGAAAGUCUGACGGAGCAACGCCGCGUGAGCGAUGACGGCCUUCGGGUUGUAAAGCUCUGUUAAUCGGGACGAAAGGCCUUCUUGCGAAUAGUGAGAAGGAUUGACGGUACCGGAAUAGAAAGCCACGGCUAACUACGUG
This 510-nucleotide ribosomal RNA is filed under the name uncultured bacterium. RNAcentral describes it as "partial 16S ribosomal RNA". It matches the Rfam family "Bacterial small subunit ribosomal RNA", at positions 28 to 507 of the family's 1533-position model. The record is from RNAcentral.